This 126-nucleotide small RNA is filed under the name Marmota monax (woodchuck). The record is from RNAcentral. Lineage: Eukaryota; Metazoa; Chordata; Mammalia; Rodentia; Sciuridae.
GCUGGGUACAGUGGCACUUACCUGUAAUCCCAAUGGCUUGGGGGCUGAGGCAGGAGGAUCACAAGUUCAAAGCCAGCCUCAGCAAAAGAGAGGUGCUAAGCAACUCAGUGAGAGACCCUGUCUCUA